RNAcentral lists this long non-coding RNA (333 nucleotides) under Chinchilla lanigera (long-tailed chinchilla). RNAcentral's name for it is "lncRNA (ENSCLAG00000023052.1)". The record is from RNAcentral. Lineage: Eukaryota; Metazoa; Chordata; Mammalia; Rodentia; Chinchillidae.
AAGAGGACACCAAAGCACGAAGAGUAUGCAAGUGAACUGCUCAUCAGCUUGAGCUGAGAGCUGAACCAGGCAUCCUGGGCCAGUUCUUGUAUGCCGGCCUCUCUCUGGAAUGUCAUCACCUCGGCUCUGUCCUUGAAAUCCUCCUUCUUCUUUGAGGCCCCGCCCAGAUUCCAGAGGAUGUGUGCCAAGCCCGCAUCGUUUUCUUCCUGCACUCAGACUCGAGUGCACCCUCGCCAACCAGCCCGACUUCAGCACCAAGACAAGGACUCCCUGGGCCUCCUGCUUAACCUUUCAAAAGGUGCAGCACAUGACCCCUCACAGAGAUGGGAGUGA